Molecule: ribosomal RNA, 253 nt
Filed under: uncultured bacterium
Lineage: Bacteria
Description: partial 16S ribosomal RNA
Rfam family: Bacterial small subunit ribosomal RNA
Source: RNAcentral
UACAGAGGGUGCAAGCGUUGUUCGGAAUUAUUGGGCGUAAAGCGCGUGUAGGCGGCUUUGCAAGUCGGGUGUGAAAGCCCUCGGCUCAACCGAGGAAGUGCGCCCGAAACUGCAGAGCUUGAGUACCGGAGAGGAUGGCGGAAUUCCCCAAGUAGAGGUGAAAUUCGUAGAUAUGGGGAGGAACACCGGUGGCGAAGGCGGCGUUCUGGACUGCAACUGACACUGAUGAACGAAAGCCAGGGGAGCAAACGGG